AUGGUCGACGGAUUCCUGGUGCACGUCGAGCCUAACUCUAAUUCGAGUUGCUUUAGGGAGCUUACGCAUAAAGGGCUAACACUUUGGGAGAAUGGCAUGACGACUCACCAUCAGAUUGGUGAUGUGAUCAGACAGAUCAAGAACCAAGUUCAGGAUGUGGCCGACAUGCAAGAGAAUUAUAACUUCAAUGUCAACAAUGUUGUGGCUAAUGCAACUGCAAUAUCUGCCACUGACCUUGGGAUUUCAGCUAUGUAUGUAAAUAAAGAACGACUCAUUAGCAUCAAGGCGCCAAGAGAUGAGCUAAUAAGGCUAUUUGAGGAGGAUAGCGAUUAUACAAAGCUCAAGACAGUCUCUAUCGUUGGAAUGGGAGGACUGGGAAAGACUACACUUGCCAAGGCAGUGUGUGACAAGCUUAAAAAAGAUUACCAUCAUAGAGCUUUUAUUCCGGUGGGUCAGAAUCCUGAUGUGAAGAAAGUUUUGAAGGACAUUCUGUUGGAAUUAGGACACAGUUCAGCAAUCCUAGACUUGGAUGUGCGUCAGCUCAUCAACGAACUCAGAAAGGCCCAUGGCCCAUGGCCAGCGCAAUGGACUGUUGGUCGGGAAAGGCCCGUGGCAAGCCCAACAGAUUGUUGGUCGGAAAGAUAUGUUGGUCGGGAAACGGUUUUCCCGUCUGGUCUUUUCUCAGUAGACAGUGUCGGUCGGCAAUAG
This 708-nucleotide ribosomal RNA is filed under the name Triticum aestivum (bread wheat). Its description in RNAcentral is "partial small subunit ribosomal RNA". The record is from RNAcentral. Lineage: Eukaryota; Viridiplantae; Streptophyta; Magnoliopsida; Poales; Poaceae.